AACAUCGCGCACCUGCGGGAACCUGCGGAAGGAUCAUUACAGAGUGUAAAAACUCCCAAAACCCAUGUGAACAUACCUUUUUGUUGCUUCGGCGGGAUCGCCCCGGGCGCCUUGUGUGCCCCGGAGUCAGGCGCCCGCCGGGGGACCCAAACUCUUGUUUUUAACGAGUAUCUUCUGAGUAACGUUUUUAAAUAAAUAAAAACUUUCAGCAAUGGAUCU
This 219-nucleotide unclassified non-coding RNA is filed under the name soil metagenome. Its description in RNAcentral is "partial contains 5.8S ribosomal RNA, internal transcribed spacer 2, and large subunit ribosomal RNA". The record is from RNAcentral.